RNAcentral lists this long non-coding RNA (265 nucleotides) under Mytilus galloprovincialis (Mediterranean mussel). Lineage: Eukaryota; Metazoa; Mollusca; Bivalvia; Mytilida; Mytilidae. The record is from RNAcentral.
GUUUUGUUAUUUGAUUUUGCCAUGUGAUUAUGGACUUUCCGAAUUGAUUUUCCUCUAAGUUCAGUAUUUUUGUGAUUUUACUUUUUGUUAUGCUCACACAUUGUUGCCAAUAUAAUGGAAAUCUAUGCUACUGUGAUGAAAGUGUGAGGUUAAAAUAUUUAUAAAACAAUGUGUUAUCCACCAUUAUUUUUUUCUGUGUAACGUAUACUGUGUACAUGUCAUACACAAAUUUGAAUUUUUCAAUUAUGGUUGUUUUGAGCCAACG